RNAcentral lists this ribosomal RNA (164 nucleotides) under Torulaspora delbrueckii. Its description in RNAcentral is "18S ribosomal RNA". It matches the Rfam family "Eukaryotic small subunit ribosomal RNA", at positions 1 to 162 of the family's 1831-position model. The record is from RNAcentral. Lineage: Eukaryota; Fungi; Ascomycota; Saccharomycetes; Saccharomycetales; Saccharomycetaceae.
UAUCUGGUUGAUCCUGCCAGUAGUCAUAUGCUUGUCUCAAAGAUUAAGCCAUGCAUGUCUAAGUAUAAGCAAUUUAUACAGUGAAACUGCGAAUGGCUCAUUAAAUCAGUUAUCGUUUAUUUGAUAGUUCCUUUACUACAUGGUAUAACUGUGGUAAUUCUAGA